Stegodyphus dumicola is the source of this 555-nucleotide long non-coding RNA. The record is from RefSeq and is a predicted model, not a curated record. Lineage: Eukaryota; Metazoa; Arthropoda; Arachnida; Araneae; Eresidae.
AAAAAAAAAAACUUACACACAAGCUAAUUUUACUAAAUUGGAUUUUUUCUGGAAGUGUGCAGGAAAAAUAAUUAAAAGAUUCUAAAUGACAUAUUUUGAUGCAAAAACCUUUUUUCUUUUAAUAAAAAAGUUAAGGAUAAAUGAUAAAUUAUCUUAACACUUUUUAUAAUAUAUUUUGGAUAUUAGGCUAAAGAUGGGAAUACUUUCAAAUUGGCAUUUAAAGAAAAAAAAAAAAGGUCACCUACUAUUCAAGCCAAUAUGGUAAUUUACUUUUUAAGACGUAAUUGUAAAUAAGUUCACCAUUUCAUUUCUCCUCAGAAUCUUAUAAAUGCAAUGGAAGAAGAUACAUGCCAACUGGAAAAUAAUCAGAAGAAAUUCCACUUGUUCAAUCAACCAGGAGAUGCACAUCGAAGAAUUGAAAAGUGGGAUGAUGAAGAAGCAGCUGAAGAAACCUACCAGAUGUGCAUAAAAUUCCUCUGUAAUUACUAAAUAUGUUGAAAUAAUUUAAUGUAAAAUGGUAAAUGAACUUAUUACAUUAAAAACUCAUCAGAUACA